UGGGGCGUGGUGCAGCGGGAGCAUACUGACACUUGACAUAUUGGCUUUGCGGCUGUUGAGUCACGACCCGGGUUCGACUCCCGGCGCCUCAG
Molecule: transfer RNA, 92 nt
Filed under: Giardia lamblia P15
Lineage: Eukaryota; Fornicata; Diplomonadida; Hexamitidae
Description: tRNA-Ser
Source: RNAcentral